UCUUUACAGUCUGCUUCAGGCGGCCGUCAGGCCUUAAAAGGGAACUCCGGUGCAAGUCCGGGGCGGUCCCGCCGCUGUGAGCCCUGUAAAUCUUUUUGUCGUAUCUGGGUCACUAACCCCGCACUUACUUUUUUCAAAAAAGUAAGAGAAACUUAUUUUUUGACCUCCGUGAGGCAGGUUAUAAAAUUUUAUAAGUUUCGCUGUAGUGCUACUUUUUUGAAAAAAGUAAGUGCGGGGUUGGGAAGGCCGACAAAGGAAGGGGCGAGCCAGAAGACCUGCCUGAAGUCUUAUCCAUCA
This 297-nucleotide non-coding RNA is filed under the name Desulfonatronospira thiodismutans. RNAcentral also lists the same sequence under 1 other name. The record is from RNAcentral. Lineage: Bacteria; Pseudomonadati; Thermodesulfobacteriota; Desulfovibrionia; Desulfovibrionales; Desulfonatronovibrionaceae.